GAUGAACGCUGGCGGCGUGCCUAAUACAUGCAAGUCGAGCGAACAGACGAGGAGCUUGCUCCUCUGACGUUAGCGGCGGACGGGUGAGUCACACGUGGAUAACCUACCUAUAAGACUGGGAUAACUUCGGGAAACCGGAUCUAAUACCGGAUAAUAUAUUGAACCGCAUGGUUCAAUAGUGAAAGACGGUUUUGCUGUCACUUAUAGAUGGAUCCGCGCCGCAUUAGCUAGUUGGUAAGGUAACGGCUUACCAAGGCGAGGAUGCGUAGCCGACCCGAGAGGGUGAUCGGACACAUGGGAACUGAGACACGUCCCAGACUCCUACGGGGAGCAGCAGUAGGGAAUCUUCCGCAAUGGGCGAAUGCCUGACGGAGCAACGUCGCGUGAGUGAUGAAGGUCUUCGGAUCGUAAAACUCUGUUAUUAGGGAAGAACAAAUGUGUAAGUAACUGGGCACGUAUUGACGGUACCUAAUCAGAAAGCCACGGCUAACUACGUG
RNAcentral lists this ribosomal RNA (497 nucleotides) under uncultured bacterium. Its description in RNAcentral is "partial 16S ribosomal RNA". It matches the Rfam family "Bacterial small subunit ribosomal RNA", at positions 28 to 507 of the family's 1533-position model. The record is from RNAcentral.